AUUGAACGCUGGCGGCAGGCCUAACACAUGCAAGUCGAACGAGUGGCGGACGGGUGAGUAAUGUCUGGGAAACUGCCCGAUGGAGGGGGAUAACUACUGGAAACGGUAGCUAAUACCGCAUACCAUCGGAUGUGCCAAGAUGGGAUUAGCUUGUAGGUGAGGUAACGGCUCACCUAGGCGACGAUCCCUAGCUGGUCUGAGAGGAUGACCAGCCACACGGGAACUGAUACACGGUCCAGACUCCGACGGGAGGCAGCAGUUGGGAAUAUUGCGCAAUGGGCUAAAGCCUGAUGCAGCCAUGCCGCGUGUAUGAAGAAGGUCUUCGGGUUGCAAAAUACUUUCAGCAGGGAGGCGUUACCCGCAGAAGAAGCACCGGCUAACUCCGUGUCAGCAGCCGCGGUAAUUC
Molecule: ribosomal RNA, 406 nt
Filed under: uncultured bacterium
Lineage: Bacteria
Description: partial 16S ribosomal RNA
Rfam family: Bacterial small subunit ribosomal RNA
Source: RNAcentral